GGGCCGCACGCGCGCUACACUGACGGAGCCAGCAAGCAUAACCUUGGUCGAGAGGCCUGGGUAAUCUCGUGAAACUCCGUCGUGCUGGGGAUAGAGCAUUGUAAUUUUUGCUCUUCAACGAGGAAUUCCUAGUAAGCGCAAGUCAUCAGCUUGCGUUGAUUACGUCCC
RNAcentral lists this ribosomal RNA (168 nucleotides) under Pichia fermentans. RNAcentral describes it as "partial 18S rRNA". It matches the Rfam family "Eukaryotic small subunit ribosomal RNA", at positions 1484 to 1653 of the family's 1831-position model. The record is from RNAcentral. Lineage: Eukaryota; Fungi; Ascomycota; Pichiomycetes; Pichiales; Pichiaceae.